RNAcentral lists this ribosomal RNA (497 nucleotides) under uncultured bacterium. RNAcentral describes it as "partial 16S ribosomal RNA". It matches the Rfam family "Bacterial small subunit ribosomal RNA", at positions 28 to 507 of the family's 1533-position model. The record is from RNAcentral.
GAUGAACGCUGGCGGCGUGCCUAAUACAUGCAAGUCGAGCGAACGGACGAGAAGCUUGCUUCUCUGAUGUUAGCGGCGGACGGGUGAGUAACACGUGGAUAACCUACCUAUAAGACUGGGAUAACUUCGGGAAACCGGAGCUAAUACCGGAUAAUCUUUUGAACCGCAUGGUUCAACAGUGAAAGACGGUCUUGCUGUCACUUAUAGAUGGAUCCGCGCUGCAUUAGCUAGUUGGUAAGGUAACGGCUUACCAAGGCAACGAUGCAUAGCCGACCUGAGAGGGUGAUCGGCCACACUGGAACUGAGACACGGUCCAGACUCCUACGGGAGGCAGCAGUAGGGAACCUGCCGCAAUGGGCGAAAGCCUGACGGAGCAACGCCGCGUGAGUGAUGAAGGUCUUCGGAUCGUAAAACUCUGUUAUUAGGGAAGAACAUAUGUGUAAGUAACUGUGCACAUCUUGACGGUACCUAAUCAGAAAGCCACGGCUAACUACGUG